CUAAAAAUCAGCUGUACAGUGCCAUUCCCAAGUCUUACAGGCCACACAGCCCGUCAUUCAAGUUCCUUCUCAAAUCGUUAUAGAAACAUCAGCAUUUCCACAGGGUUUAUUUCUGCAUGCUGGAGUUCAGCUUGAAAUUGGUUAGGAUUUUAGGCUAUAACUGUUAUUGUACUCCCUCAGUCCUGCAUGGUGGCUCCCCAUGAACCUCAUAGAUACGCUCGUUUACAUCUCACUUGGCAUAUCGCAAGCUGAGGCAGAACCUGAAGGGGUUCUCCUGGUGCUGGGGAACUUUGGAUCGUAACCUGAAAUAGCCUCAGCUGCUGCGCAAAGCAUGCUUGUGUUGGCAGUGCAUUUAAUAGCUUACAUUAGUUUAUUUACAUGUGUAUUCUGGCCUCUACUGUAUAUUGAUCUGUGUCUCUGCAUUUUUCUGCCUAACUGCACUCUUCAAGGUGUGACUGUGCCGGUGUUGCUACAACUUGAAGGUUUAUCAUCGUGCAGCUUACCGGUGCUGGCGUGAAAUCGUACCGCUUUGAUGCACUCGCAGCUGAUUUCUAGAUCAGUGGCUGAUCCUGUGAAAACGUACGGUCCCCUGACAGAGGUCAGGUCUCAGGCAGAGCAGCCUCAGCCCAUCCACACGAGGCUGGGAAGUUGCAGUUGUGUGGAGAAAGUGGAGCUGGAGCUUGAACCCAGAUCUAAUCCUGUGUUUUGACUAAUUCCUCAUCACAUUGCUGCAGAGCAGAAAUGCCAUGUUCCUGAUCAUAUGGAAAAUGGAAAGAGGAGCUGGGAAUGGGACUUGGAUCUCCAGCAUGGACACUGCUUUGUGGAUGGGUUAUCACAAAAGACUGAGGAAAACACAAAUGCUUCAGCCCACCUCCUGUCCAGGGUUCCCAGAGCGCUUCAAAGCCCCAGGACAGGUUUGUGUGUCUGUGUGCGCUGGAAGGGAAGAAAGACUGCUGUCCUCCUGCACCUGACUGUUGGCUUUAAGGGUGCAGGGCACUGAAUGGCCCAGCACAGAGACUUCAUCCUCCAGCAGGGUGCCAGUGCCUCGGAGAUGAUGAUGUAGUCCCUAUGUGGGCCGCAGAAAGCACUUCGAGCCGUGCUGGAGUCGUGCUGGG
Molecule: long non-coding RNA, 1115 nt
Filed under: Anas zonorhyncha (Eastern spot-billed duck)
Lineage: Eukaryota; Metazoa; Chordata; Aves; Anseriformes; Anatidae
Description: lncRNA (ENSAZOG00000018625.1)
Source: RNAcentral